UACGGAGGGAGCUAGCGUUGUUCGGAAUUACUGGGCGUAAAGGGUGCGCAGGCCGCGCGGGCAGUCAAAUGUGUAAUUCUGGGGCUCAACCCCUGCACUGCGCUUGAUACUUCCGCGCUCGAGCUUUGGAGAGGAGUCUGGAAUUCUCGGUGUAGCAGUGAAAUGCGUGGAUAUCGAGAAGAACACUUAGGGCGAAGGCAAGACUCUGGACAAAUGCUGACGCUCAUGCACGAAGGCUAGGGUAGCGAACGGG
Molecule: ribosomal RNA, 253 nt
Filed under: uncultured bacterium
Lineage: Bacteria
Description: partial 16S ribosomal RNA
Rfam family: Bacterial small subunit ribosomal RNA
Source: RNAcentral